CGAAUAGCGAAAUGAAGAGAGCUAUCCGUCGACAGUCAAGUUUAAAUUCAUUUUAAUACUGUCAUGGAAUUGCUCUCUUUGUAUAAUAUUCG
Drosophila busckii is the source of this 92-nucleotide microRNA precursor. It matches the Rfam family "mir-46/mir-47/mir-281 microRNA precursor family". Rfam says of the family: The hairpin precursors (represented here) are predicted based on base pairing and cross-species conservation -- their extents are not known. In this case the mature sequences are expressed from the 3' arms of the hairpin precursors. The record is from Rfam. NCBI's taxonomy places the organism in Eukaryota, Metazoa, Arthropoda, Insecta, Diptera, Drosophilidae.